This 2124-nucleotide long non-coding RNA is filed under the name Anas platyrhynchos platyrhynchos (common mallard). Its description in RNAcentral is "lncRNA (ENSAPLG00000018453.1)". The record is from RNAcentral. Lineage: Eukaryota; Metazoa; Chordata; Aves; Anseriformes; Anatidae.
UGUUGUGGCUGGCAGGUUUCAUGGCACGGCACCCAGCCUACGGUUUGUGCCACGGCCAAAGCCAAGCAGGCUGUCAGCUCCCUGCUGUCCUCGGCCAUCGCAGGGGAAAAGCCUUCCCAGGGGGGCACGGAGCUGUGCUGGGUCAUCUGCCUGCUGCUGGAGCCCCGCGCCUGCUGCAAGCCCGAGCCCCGGCCCAGGCAGGCCCUGGCCGAGCGGGGCUGUGACGUGGCCGUGGUGCCUCCUGUGAAACGCUUCCCUCCCCGCCUGGAGCGGGCAGAGAGCCCGCAAUGAGCCCUUGUCAGGUGUGCUGCUGUGCUAAUAACGCUGCUCGCAUUGCUGCGCUUUGUUGCUUUGUGUUUUUGAAGCCUACAGCACUUUGUUCGUGGCUAAUAUGAAAAGCAGGCAGCUUCCACAGCACUCGGGGAGAGAGACGCAACUCUUCGGAAGAAGAUAAAGAGCUUCUGCAAAUAUUUAUGCACAGAAAAUCGAUCAAACUGUAAUGUGUCUCGUUUAAAAAACAAUUGUGUGUAUUUGUGUGGUUGUAGCUCCUGCAGCUGGCGUGAGAAGGAAAAGCUGUUUGUCUAUCGCAGGUGGAUGGGUGGAGAAAUUGCCCACCAAAACACCCAGAGGCAGCAUCAGGGACAAGAAGGGACAGUUCCUGUGCCAUGGGGCAGUGAUGCCACCUGGUCCUCAGCCCACCAGGAAAGCACUCGGUGCUGCAGGAGCACAGGCUUCUGCUGGUGCCUGUGAUGGAGACACCUGGGGGCGUUGGCAGGAUUUUAUUUAAUGCUCUCAAUCGCCUGCUGGGGCUGUUGAGAAACAGGUGCCUGCAUCUCCUCUGGGGCCUGAGCCUGUCCUGGCCGCUGGGUGCUGCUGCAGGGGCUUGGAGUUUGCCUCGUCCUCCUGCUGGCUGCUGCUGCUGCUCCCUGCCUGCCCCUGAGCACCUCAGGUUGCUCAUUAGCUUCUGCUGUUCCCUACAAGAUGCAAAGCAGGCGUUAGGGUCGCAGCUGCUGCCUUGCUCCCCAGGUGAGCCCAGAGCGUGGUGCAGCUCCUGGGGGGGCUGUUGUAUGCCUGGGGCUUUGAAAUUGGCUCGUCCUUCCUCAGCUGGGGCAGCCUGUACCUACUGAGCUGCAGGACGCAGGAAUAGCCGGUCAGUUUUUCUGAGAGGAGCUGGAAUUACAAGGAUGCAGUUUUUAUACCUAGAGAAUCCCAGGGCUAGCUGAGAAACAUUCCUGAGCAUAUGUGGAAUCCAUUUAGUUUUGUUUAAGAUCAGCCCUGUGUGUUGCUAGGAGGGGGGUACAUUUGUGUACCAGAUCCCUGUACCUACAAGUCCAUCACUUUAUUAAUAGGUCUGGUACAGAGUUUGAAGUGGGGGAAAAAAGCAUGUUCCUGGCUUCUCAAAAGCAAAACUUUUUGGGAAAAAGCUUAAACCUUUUCUAUCUGCAGUGGCCUCCUCUAUGAAGGUCAUGGGAGAGCCUGGAUGGGAAGGACCCGCUGGGGGGCUCAAGUCCCCAGGUCUUGGCAAAUCCCUCAGUGAAGAGGAAGAGGUGUUUGGAUAAUGCCCUUAACAUGCCAUAGCUGUUGGAUAAACCAGGGAAUGGUUUAUUGUGGAACUUACGUGUUUUCAGUCUCGACUUUGCUUUGCUUUGCUAUGGAGAAAUCACGUUCCAGCUCCUGCUGGAGGAGUUGCAAUCUUCCCAUCCUUUAUGGUGGGCAAAGGACAGAGGUGCUCCAGCUUCUAACAGCGGGGAAGUGUUGACUCAAAUCCUUUUCUCCCCACUUAAAGUUCUAGAGGGGACCGCGCUUCUCUUUUCCUCCCCAGACUGCAGCAGCAUCAGCUUCACGCAGCCCUACCACGUCUUCCACCUGCUGAUUUUAAAGCAGCCUCUGGUAACGAGUCCCAGCUCCUAAUUAGUGCCUUACCAAACGAACUGUCUGCGUGGUGGUGUUGGGGUGGUGCCGAGGGCUGUGCCGUGCGGGGACGCCUGGCCCCAGGCAGGCAGCAGGAGCCCGCUCGUGGCUGCUGUCCUCGCUGUUUGCUGAAGCCUCUCUGAGCACGCUUAAGGCACAGGCACGCCGGCUCAUAGUCAAAAUGAUUUUUUCCUGGGUACGCUUUAUUUUACU